UUUAAUCCCUCUACUGCAUGGAUGGUGGUAGGUCCUUUCAGAAACUCCUCUGAGUUUCAGAUUUCUCUUCUGUGUCUUCCCAAGGCAGGUAUGAAGGCUGGCUGCUUCCAGGUGCUGCCGGCACUGCUUAGCUUCCACUUCACAUUCCCCAAAUUCCAUCCUGGUGUGUCUAGGCAGAUAUGUCUUGGCUGCUUAAAUUGAAAAACAAUAACAUUCAAAUGCACAGGGGUCAAACAGAAAGUCAGGUAACUGCUUUAGGCUUAGACUAAGAUUACCAAGAGGGAGAGAUUCUGCGAAUAAUAAAGCUAAAAGGACUGGCCUUGAAUGCAGCACUGAGGGAGCAGAAGCAGCCGUACAGAGAGACAAAUAGUCUGAGCAUGGAUAUGAUGUGAAAACGUGAGAAACAACUAGGUGAAGCAAUUUCCAAUAAUUUUAACUCCAAGGAAUUGGAGAGCAGGACGAGCUGUAGCACAACCAAACUGCAGACAUUCAGAAAGUUUUGUAUUUGUGGUAGUAUUUUAAAGAUCCUUGCCUACUUUGCUUUUGUUUUUUCUCACCCUUUUACCAGCAAGUGUAGAUGACAAGCAGAGCUGAAAAUCACAAUAUUAAAUUCUUCACUAACCACAAAUUCUCUAUGACUAUAAAGAGAAAGGCGAAGUGAUGUGAAGAAAAGAGGCCACUAGAGUUCAUCUAAUGACACGCAUGUGUGAGGCAGUCAGGAUGCUCAGUGUAGUAAAUGAAACGAUGUUACUGUAUAAGGAAAGAUUUGGGUAUAAUGACUGUUAUAUCUGAAUGAUCACAGCAUGCAAGUACAGAAGACAGUGAUCUUCCCAGAGUUUGUGGAGAAGCAAAUCCUUGCUUUAUCUAGGCACAGCUGAACUUUGCAGACAAGUGCGUUAAUGCCACACCAGGUCAGCAGGGCUAUAAUUGUCUCUAACCAGAACAGUCAAAAGUUGCAGAGUUCGCUCUCUGCUGGGUGAGUGACACCCAGAAAUUCUUUCUAGACUUAAAAACAAGCAAAGAGACAAGUUUGAACCUGAACUUCAGUGUAAUCAUGCCACUCAGCAGCAUAAACAAACAUGGCACCGAUUGGAAAACUAUUCUCGAGGAGUCAGUUUUGACUGAUCCAGAUAAGAAGUUCUCAAAGUUAGGGUCGUGCCCCUGAGGAGUGCUGAAGGAAGAGAGGUCAUGAGCCCGGAAAGGAGGUUUCAGGCUGAAAAUCUUGGAAACUGCUGAUCUAGACAAAUGAAUGGUCAUGCCAAGGGGGUUCCCCUAGAACAUCUCUUUUCCAUUCUCCUGCCUUGCAAGCAAUAACUGGAGGGAGUUUUAAAGCUGGCAAGGCUAGCCUGUUUGUAACAUGCUGAUGUAUUUCUAAAAGCAGAUCUCUGGAAAUGAGCCUGAGAUCAGGGAGAUGAGAGAAAGGCAGGCUCUUGAGGGAAGGAUGUGGAACAAAGAGAAGGGGAGGAGAGGCAUGUCUGUGGGAAACAGGAUCUGCAAAGGAAAAAUAAGAUUGAGUGGAAGAGAUGGAGGCUUGUUAAGGUUGUAAGACAGCUUUGUAGUCUAACUUGGAAGGUUACAUUAGUCUCACAACAACUUUGAAAGACAAAGCCCUUGGUGCUGAGCUGCAUACCAUCACGUGAAAACUAGCAUAAUUUUUGGUGGAAUUAAUGUGUGGCCAGAGUAAGGUAUGUACAACUGAUGCAUACACAGAAAUAAGGCAAGAUCUGUGAGUCUCCAAAUGGCUGUCUUUACUUCUUGUGCUUUGAAAGCUAGCAACGCCAGGCUCUGAAUUUACUUACAUCAAGAGAAAACCACUGUUACUGGGAACUUCUGCAGAUUAGUUUAUAAUGAAAAAAUUGGAAAAUAUAAGCAGACAAAAAAAUUAGCAUGGCUUACACUCUCAAUUUUGUCUCAUCAUUAUUAAAAAAAAAAAGUUUAAGCAAUAUUUGGUAAAAGUCUCUAAACGUUGAAUAUUGGUGAUUCUUUUUGCCAGUAAAGUGGUAAGUAUUUGUUUGUGGCAAAGAUUUUCAGCCCAGGCAAGGGCUGAAAGUGCAGAUUUCUCAGAAAGACUCCAUAGAACCUUUCAGUAUCUAAAGGAGAGCUAUAAGAAAGAAGGAGACAGACUCUUCAAGAGGGCCUGUUGUAAUAGGACAACGGGAAAUGGUUUCAUACUAAAAGAGGGGAGAUUCAGAUUGACUAUAAGGAAAAAGCUUUUUACAUCAAGGGUGGUGAGGCACUCAAGAUCAGGCUGGAUGAGCUCUGAGCACCUGUUGGAGCUGUAGGUAUCCUUGUUCGUUGCACUGGAGUUGGACCAGAUGGCUUUAAAAGUCCCUUCAAACUCAAAUGAUCACAUCAGACUGCUGUCACACGUCCUGUGUGAAGUCUCAGCAGUCCGACUCUCCUUGCAGCUAAGGUUUGUGGGAACCUGCUGAACUCUCCCCUGGGCACUGCAGAAAAUAAACAGAGCACCUGCAAGUCAUGUGGGCUUUUAUAAUACCAAAUUAGUUUAAGGAUAAGAGGGGUGUUGGCACCGUGAAAUGGGUAUUUUGAACAAUUUUGUCUACAGCACCCUACUUGCUACCCAAGGGCACGGAGGAUGAAAGCAAUAGAUUUGGGGCAAUUAGGAGGGAGUAUAGCAAUCAGGCAAGUUCAAGUCAGGGACGGGAACUAGGCCUGGAGGUUAGUAAGCCAGCACAGGUCAUCGUCAUAAAACAAACAUCAGGUCUGUGUGGUGCAAUACCUAGCUGAGGCUAUGUGCUAGAAACAAUGCAGAGGUAAAGUCAAUAACAUUGUGUGGUAUUUAUUUAGUAGUGUUAUGUGGAGGGAUAUUAAUGAACCAGGAGAUCUUUGCAGGGGUUGCCUGGGUGCUGUAUUUCAGGCUCUAAGAUGGAGCUGGCCAGGCCUGCUCCCGCGCAAAGCCAGGCAGUGCUGCAGGGACGAGGCCGCAGGGCAAGGCGGGGACAAGUUGCCCUGCUGCUCCAGUUACUGCUGCAGGAACUAGUGCUGACCCACAACCAUAGGUGCUAGAGGAAGCCCGGAGGAGGUGUUGUGCUGAAGACCCUGAGAGCAAGGGAAGGCAGGCAGUCCUGAGCCUUAACCACACUACUGAGGUGGAUUCUUGAGCAAGGCAACUCUCUUCUGCUGCUUGUUUUUAGCGAGAAGAAAACUUUGUGAGUCUCUUUGUGAUUAAAUGAACAUAUACCAAGACUGAACCUGUUUUGAAUCCUGUACAGCUUUGAACAGCAACAAAUUGGUCACACAAGUGAUGCCUAAACUUCAGGCCUCCGUGUCAAGAGCCAUGGACACUUUGCUCUUGAAAGAACCUGAUUUUGCAGGAUGUUCCGGUCUGAAUUUGUCGAGUCUACGUUAGAAGAGACCUAUUCUGAUUCUGCCUGGAGCUGAAUAACUCUUCAAUGCACCUCCACUGUCACCCCUGCUGGCUCCCUGCUUUAAGGUUUUCCAAAUUUCUGCUGUCUGAGCACUUCACGAACCUCUUUAUGCUCCUGCUUUGUGUGAACACCCAUCCAUCUUAAGAAAUUUCUCUGUCCAAGUGAAGUAGUGACAGAAGUCACAGCUGGUUAAUUCACCCCACUCUGAUGCUCACUAUCUUAGUUCAAGUCACUAAAUGAUAUACGAAUAUUAUUUAUUUUUAGUACUCCUCAUGGCUGUAUAUGUUGCUUCCACUCUUCCUAUGUUCCUGGUGCUUGAGCAAGAAGAAAUCAGAAAACGGUGAAUUUUAGGAUGUGUUGAGAAACUUGCAUGGACCUUGCUUCCAGGAAGAACAUACUUAUGUGCUGAUAAAUAGCAACUUAUCUAAAAAGUACUCAAGAAAGUAUUUCUUAAAUAAGAGCACUUCUCUGGAAUUGAGCACUUGGUAGCUGGCUGUUGGGCUUUUUUUUGUUUGUUUGCUUAUUUUUUAGUUUUAGUAUUAUUAUUUUUUAGUUUUAGUAUUUCAGCACCCUGCUGACAGUGUUGUGAAAUCCUUGCUGGGUGUUUGCCAGUUAACUGAAUAAACUUUUACUUGCUUGAUGAUUUUAUAACUCCUCUCUAUGAAAUAAGUUUGUCAUUUGUUUGACUUCUCUCCUGCAUUUUGUGUAUAAAUGCUACCUAAUCUCACAAAGAAAGACUUUGAGACUUAAAUUCUUGCAGUUAUCAAAUACAGCAAUCAGAAAGAGUCUGAGCACUUAA
Long non-coding RNA from Meleagris gallopavo (turkey), 4188 nucleotides. RefSeq lists it as uncharacterized. The record is from RefSeq and is a predicted model, not a curated record. NCBI's taxonomy places the organism in Eukaryota, Metazoa, Chordata, Aves, Galliformes, Phasianidae.